RNAcentral lists this ribosomal RNA (566 nucleotides) under Boeremia exigua. RNAcentral describes it as "eukaryotic LSU rRNA". It matches the Rfam family "Eukaryotic large subunit ribosomal RNA", at positions 66 to 647 of the family's 3401-position model. Lineage: Eukaryota; Fungi; Ascomycota; Dothideomycetes; Pleosporales; Didymellaceae. The record is from RNAcentral.
CAACAGGGAUUGCCCUAGUAACGGCGAGUGAAGCGGCAACAGCUCAAAUUUGAAAUCUGGCGUCUUUGGCGUCCGAGUUGUAAUUUGCAGAGGGCGCUUUGGCAUUGGCAGCGGUCCAAGUUCCUUGGAACAGGACGUCACAGAGGGUGAGAAUCCCGUACGUGGUCGCUAGCCUUUACCGUGUAAAGCCCCUUCGACGAGUCGAGUUGUUUGGGAAUGCAGCUCUAAAUGGGAGGUAAAUUUCUUCUAAAGCUAAAUACUGGCCAGAGACCGAUAGCGCACAAGUAGAGUGAUCGAAAGAUGAAAAGCACUUUGGAAAGAGAGUUAAAAAGCACGUGAAAUUGUUGAAAGGGAAGCGCUUGCAGCCAGACUUGCCUGUAGUUGCUCAUCCGGGUUUUUACCCGGUGCACUCUUCUAUAGGCAGGCCAGCAUCAGUUUGGGCGGUUGGAUAAAGGUCUCUGUCAUGUACCUCCUCUCGGGGAGAACUUAUAGGGGAGACGUAAUGCAACCAGCCUGGACUGAGGUCCGCGCAUCUGCUAGGAUGCUGGCGUAAUGGCUGUAAGCGG